UAGCUGAUAUAAAAGAGUGGAUCCAAAGUC
This 30-nucleotide small RNA is filed under the name Bombyx mori (domestic silkworm). RNAcentral describes it as "ovarian small RNA-22515". The record is from RNAcentral. Lineage: Eukaryota; Metazoa; Arthropoda; Insecta; Lepidoptera; Bombycidae.